UCCGUAGGCGGCUCGGUAGGUGGGGUGUGAAAGCCCACGGCUCAACCGUGGAAUUGCGCUCCAAACCAUCGGGCUAGAGGGAGAUAGAGGAGAGCGGAACUGAUGGUGGAGCGGUGAAAUGCGUUGAUAUCAUCAUGAACACCGGUGGCGAAAGCGGCUCUCUGGGUCUCUUCUGACGCUGAGGGACGAAAGCUAGGGGAGCGAACAGGAUUAGAUACCCUGGUAGUCC
Molecule: ribosomal RNA, 229 nt
Filed under: uncultured bacterium
Lineage: Bacteria
Description: partial 16S ribosomal RNA
Rfam family: Bacterial small subunit ribosomal RNA
Source: RNAcentral